RNAcentral lists this ribosomal RNA (85 nucleotides) under Paraclostridium sordellii. The record is from RNAcentral. Lineage: Bacteria; Bacillati; Bacillota; Clostridia; Peptostreptococcales; Peptostreptococcaceae. RNAcentral also lists the same sequence under 1 other name.
UCCCAUUCCGAACACAGAAGUUAAGCUCUUUAGCGCCGAUGGUACUUGGUGGGAAGCUGCCUGGGAGAGUAGGACGUAGCCACGU